This 253-nucleotide ribosomal RNA is filed under the name uncultured bacterium. RNAcentral's name for it is "partial 16S ribosomal RNA". It matches the Rfam family "Bacterial small subunit ribosomal RNA", at positions 524 to 776 of the family's 1533-position model. The record is from RNAcentral.
UACGAACCGUGCGAACGUUGUUCGGAAUCACUGGGCUUAAAGGGCGCGUAGGCGGCAUUUCAAGUCCGGGGUGAAAUCCCCCAGCUCAACUGGGGAAGUGCCUUGGAAACUGGAGUGCUCGAGGGAGGUAGGGGUCGAGGGAACUUCUGGUGGAGCGGUGAAAUGCGUUGAUAUCAGAAGGAACGCCGGUGGCGAAAGCGCUCGACUGGACCUUUUCUGACGCUGAGGCGCGAAAGCUAGGGGAGCAAACGGG